This 486-nucleotide ribosomal RNA is filed under the name uncultured bacterium. RNAcentral's name for it is "partial 16S ribosomal RNA". It matches the Rfam family "Bacterial small subunit ribosomal RNA", at positions 29 to 507 of the family's 1533-position model. The record is from RNAcentral.
AUUGAAUGAUGGAGGCAGGCCGUACACAUGCAAGUCGAACGGCAGCACGGGUGCUUGCACCUGGUGGCGAGUGGCGAACGGGUGAGUAAUACAUCGGAACAUGUCCUGUAGUGGGGGAUAGCCCGGCGAAAGCCGGAUUAAUACCGCAUACGAUCUACGGAUGAAAGCGGGGGACCUUCGGGCCUCGCGCUAUAGGGUUGGCCGAUGGCUGAUUAGCUAGUUGGUGGGGUAAAGGCCUACCAAGGCGACGAUCAGUAGCUGGUCUGAGAGGACGACCAGCCACACUGGGACUGAGACACGGCCCAGACUCCUACGGGAGGCAGCAGUGGGGAAUUUUGGACAAAGGGCGAAAGCCUGAUCCAGCAAUGCCGCGUGUGUGAAGAAGGCCUUCGGGUUGUAAAGCACUUUUGUCCGGAAAGAAAUCCUUGGCCCCAAUACGGUCGGGGGAUGACGGUACCGGAAGAAUAAGCACCGGCUAACUACGUG